Macaca mulatta (Rhesus monkey) is the source of this 1084-nucleotide non-coding RNA. The record is from RefSeq and is a predicted model, not a curated record. Lineage: Eukaryota; Metazoa; Chordata; Mammalia; Primates; Cercopithecidae.
AUUGCAGGAUCUCAGUGCCAGCUCCCCCUGCUUCUCGCUCCUAUCCACCCAGCAGGCUCUACCCGGUGCCCACCCUGCCCACUUCUCUUUCUUAUAUAAUGACAGCAUCUCCUAGUGCUCACUCCGCCCACUUCUCUCCCCCAGCCAAUCCGCGAGCUCUGCCAGUGCGUUGCGUUCCUGUCCUCGGAGGAGGGAGCCCGGGGUCUCUCCGGGAAACGGAAACGCAGGCUGGGGGGUGCGGCUCGUUUCCUUGCGACGCGGGCAGAAGCGCUCUGCCGCCGCGCGGUGGUUUUGUGGGGCAAAGGCAGCGCGGUUCCGCAGGCCCUGACGCUGCAGGGUCUCAGGGGGGCCCCGGGCGCUUUGUCCGGGUGGAGCGGGGCCCGCCCGGCGGGACGUGUGUGCGGCUGCGCAAAUGGCCCCAACGGCGCCGCGCGGGCCCGGGAGGGGGCAGUCUGGGGAGGCAGCGGCUGCGGGUCCCGCCCACGCGGAGCGCUCUCUGCCUCUCCGAGCUCUUGCUCCGGACUCGUUCCUUCAUCUAGGGCGCCGUGCACCGAGUGCCGUCCCUGCUGUCCGCACACAGUUCGGCUGGGCUCCCGCUCCCUCUCUCGGUGGAAUGAGCUGUCACAGCCGCCUCCGCGCGCACCUGUGCCCAAGGAGUGGCAGCUGGGCUGGCUUCAUGCCCCGGGAAAGGGAUGUUUGGCAUCACCAGCGGUUGGCAGACCGGUUGCGCACCUGCUUAGCUGUCAGGCUUAUCUGAAGGACAAGUCCUCCUGCCUCCAAACAGCAAAACCUCCAGCGCGGCUGGAAACGGAGCUGUGGCUGCCCAUUUGCAUUUCGAGGUCACUGUGUGGCAGGGCCAGGAGCUGAGCUGGAGACGACGGCAUCGUGUGGCCAGAGGGUUCAAGGGACGUGAGGAAAAGGGGCCUCCACAAUCGCCAGAGACAAUCCAAGGACCGUGGGAGCUGCUGGCCUCAGCCCCGGACUUUCCUGGAGCUGAGACAGUUUCAAAGCCACUGGCUGCCAGACGGAGUCUCGGAGUCUCGCUCUGUCACCAAGGCUGGAGUGCAAAGGCGCAAUGUCGGCU